GAUCAUGGCUCAGGAUGAACGCUAGCUACAGGCUUAACACAUGCAAGUCGAGGGGCAGCGGGAAGGAAGCUUGCUUUCUUCGCCGGCGACCGGCGCACGGGCGAGUAACGCGUAUCGAACCUGCCUCAUACUCGGGAAUAACCUUGCGAAAGUAAGACUAAUACCCGAUGUUUUCAUCUCCUCGCAUGAAGAGUUGAACAAAGUUUUUUCGGUGUGAGGAUGGCGAUGCGUCCCAUUAG
This 239-nucleotide ribosomal RNA is filed under the name uncultured bacterium. RNAcentral's name for it is "partial 16S ribosomal RNA". It matches the Rfam family "Bacterial small subunit ribosomal RNA", at positions 15 to 244 of the family's 1533-position model. The record is from RNAcentral.